Molecule: ribosomal RNA, 501 nt
Filed under: uncultured bacterium
Lineage: Bacteria
Description: partial 16S ribosomal RNA
Rfam family: Bacterial small subunit ribosomal RNA
Source: RNAcentral
AUUGAACGCUGGCGGCAUGCCUUACACAUGCAAGUCGAACGGCAGCACGGGUGCUUGCACCUGGUGGCGAGUGGCGAACGGGUGAGUAAUACAUCGGAACGUACCUUAUCGUGGGGGAUAACGCAGCGAAAGUUGCGCUAAUACCGCAUACGCCCUGAGGGGGAAAGCGGGGGACCGUAAGGCCUCGCGCGAUUAGAGCGGCCGAUGUCUGAGUAGCUUGUUGGUGAGGUAAAAGCUCACCAAGGGGAUGAUCAGUAGCUGGUCUGAGAGGACGAUAAGCCACACUGGGACGGUGACACGGCCCAGACUCCUACGGGAGGCAGCAGUGGGGAAUUUUGGACAAUGGGGGCAACCCUGAUCCAGCAAUGCCGCGUGAGUGAAGAAGGCCUUCGGGUUGUAAAGCUCUUUUGUCAGGGAAGAAACAGCAGCUCUAACACAGUCUGCGAAUGACGGUACCUGAAGAAUAAGCACCGGCUAACUACGUGCCAGCCGCCGCGGUAA